RNAcentral lists this non-coding RNA (89 nucleotides) under Clostridium sp. Its description in RNAcentral is "Glycine sequence". It matches the Rfam family "Glycine riboswitch aptamer". From Rfam's summary of the family: This family represents the bacterial glycine riboswitch. Glycine riboswitches usually consist of two metabolite-binding aptamers domains with similar structures in tandem. The aptamers cooperatively bind glycine to regulate the expression of downstream genes. RNAcentral also lists the same sequence under 1 other name. The record is from RNAcentral. Lineage: Bacteria; Bacillati; Bacillota; Clostridia; Eubacteriales; Clostridiaceae.
UUGAUAAUUUCAGGAGAGACCAUAUUUGAUUAUGGAACCGAAGGGGAACAGGCGUAAAAGCUCUCAGGUAAAAGGACUGAAAUUUGACG